This 378-nucleotide ribosomal RNA is filed under the name Triticum aestivum (bread wheat). RNAcentral's name for it is "partial small subunit ribosomal RNA". The record is from RNAcentral. Lineage: Eukaryota; Viridiplantae; Streptophyta; Magnoliopsida; Poales; Poaceae.
GAACAGAAAUUGAAACAAUACAACCGUACUAUCUAUUUAUGAUAAUUUGAUUGCUGACAGCACGACAACAUCACGCUUCUCUUUCUUAUUCUUAUUUAUAUAACUGUCACUUUACCGGGCCGGAAAAGUGACACCGUCACAUCUCAGGGUCGUAUGCCUGGAACAAGAAGGGUCGUCGUACAAUUUCGGCGAUUACAAAAAAGAAGAAGGCGAUCCCUAUCCCUCUUUGUCUUUCCACUUCCCGAACAAACACUUCGCCAAAUUCUUUUGAGUCCUGGCCCGGCCAGAACCACAUGUGCAAGUUUCCCUGCAUGUGGCUUGUCCGUGAUAACUUCUUCAGAUUUGCGUGAACUAGCGGACCGAUCACUAAGUGGUUAG